RNAcentral lists this non-coding RNA (25 nucleotides) under Cricetulus griseus (Chinese hamster). RNAcentral also lists the same sequence under 1 other name. The record is from RNAcentral. Lineage: Eukaryota; Metazoa; Chordata; Mammalia; Rodentia; Cricetidae.
UAGUAGUAAAUUAAGAAUAGAGAGC